RNAcentral lists this ribosomal RNA (823 nucleotides) under uncultured Bacteroidota bacterium. RNAcentral describes it as "bacterial SSU rRNA". It matches the Rfam family "Bacterial small subunit ribosomal RNA", at positions 55 to 871 of the family's 1533-position model. Lineage: Bacteria; Pseudomonadati; Bacteroidota. The record is from RNAcentral.
AUGCAAGUCGCGGGGCAGCAUGGGGGUUGCUUGCAAUCCCCGAUGGCGACCGGCGCACGGGUGAGUAACGCGUAUCCAACCUGCCCUUCACCACGGGAUAACCCGGCGAAAGUCGGACUAAUACCGUAUGUUGUCCAUUGACGGCAUCCGAUUUGGACGAAAGGCUUUGCGGUGAAGGAUGGGGAUGCGUCCGAUUAGCCAGACGGCGGGGUAACGGCCCACCGUGGCUACGAUCGGUAGGGGUUCUGAGAGGAAGGUCCCCCACACUGGAACUGAGACACGGUCCAGACUCCUACGGGAGGCAGCAGUGAGGAAUAUUGGUCAAUGGGCGUAAGCCUGAACCAGCCAAGUAGCGUGCAGGAUGACGGCCCUAUGGGUUGUAAACUGCUUUUAUGCGGGGAUAAAGUGGCCCACGUGUGGGCUUUUGCAGGUACCGCAUGAAUAAGGACCGGCUAAUUCCGUGCCAGCAGCCGCGGUAAUACGGAAGGUCCGGGCGUUAUCCGGAUUUAUUGGGUUUAAAGGGAGCGUAGGCCGCGCCUUAAGCGUGUUGUGAAAUCCGGGUGCUCAACAUCCGGCUUGCAGCGCGAACUGGGGCGCUUGAGUGCGCUGAAAGUAGGCGGAAUUCGUGGUGUAGCGGUGAAAUGCUUAGAUAUCACGAGGAACUCCGAUUGCGAAGGCAGCCUACUGUAGCGCUACUGACGCUGAUGCUCGAAAGCGUGGGUAUCGAACAGGAUUAGAUACCCUGGUAGUCCACGCGGUAAACGAUGGAUGCUCGUUGUCGGCCCCUUGGGUCGGUGACCAAGCGAAAGCGUUAAGCAUCCCA